AUUGUUUAAAAAACAGAGCAAGCUGGAUAAAUCAUUGAAAGAUUGGGCCAAACAUGGCCUUACUUCAUAUUGCACAUUUUUCAGCAAAGGAACCAUGUUUGAUUUUCAAACACUAAAAAAACGAUAUGGAUUGAAUAACGGUGAUUUUUUUUAAUUU
Long non-coding RNA from Notothenia coriiceps (black rockcod), 157 nucleotides. RefSeq lists it as uncharacterized. The transcript is spliced from 3 exons. NCBI's taxonomy places the organism in Eukaryota, Metazoa, Chordata, Actinopteri, Perciformes, Nototheniidae. The record is from RefSeq and is a predicted model, not a curated record.